This 2931-nucleotide ribosomal RNA is filed under the name Escherichia coli. RNAcentral describes it as "bacterial LSU rRNA". It matches the Rfam family "Bacterial large subunit ribosomal RNA". Lineage: Bacteria; Pseudomonadati; Pseudomonadota; Gammaproteobacteria; Enterobacterales; Enterobacteriaceae. The record is from RNAcentral.
GGGUUGUGAGGUUAAGCGACUAAGCGUACACGGUGGAUGCCCUGGCAGUCAGAGGCGAUGAAGGACGUGCUAAUCUGCGAUAAGCGUCGGUAAGGUGAUAUGAACCGUUAUAACCGGCGAUUUCCGAAUGGGGAAACCCAGUGUGAUUCGUCACACUAUCAUUAACUGAAUCCAUAGGUUAAUGAGGCGAACCGGGGGAACUGAAACAUCUAAGUACCCCGAGGAAAAGAAAUCAACCGAGAUUCCCCCAGUAGCGGCGAGCGAACGGGGAGCAGCCCAGAGCCUGAAUCAGUGUGUGUGUUAGUGGAAGCGUCUGGAAAGGCGCGCGAUACAGGGUGACAGCCCCGUACACAAAAAUGCACAUGCUGUGAGCUCGAUGAGUAGGGCGGGACACGUGGUAUCCUGUCUGAAUAUGGGGGGACCAUCCUCCAAGGCUAAAUACUCCUGACUGACCGAUAGUGAACCAGUACCGUGAGGGAAAGGCGAAAAGAACCCCGGCGAGGGGAGUGAAAAAGAACCUGAAACCGUGUACGUACAAGCAGUGGGAGCACGCUUAGGCGUGUGACUGCGUACCUUUUGUAUAAUGGGUCAGCGACUUAUAUUCUGUAGCAAGGUUAACCGAAUAGGGGAGCCGAAGGGAAACCGAGUCUUAACUGGGCGUUAAGUUGCAGGGUAUAGACCCGAAACCCGGUGAUCUAGCCAUGGGCAGGUUGAAGGUUGGGUAACACUAACUGGAGGACCGAACCGACUAAUGUUGAAAAAUUAGCGGAUGACUUGUGGCUGGGGGUGAAAGGCCAAUCAAACCGGGAGAUAGCUGGUUCUCCCCGAAAGCUAUUUAGGUAGCGCCUCGUGAAUUCAUCUCCGGGGGUAGAGCACUGUUUCGGCAAGGGGGUCAUCCCGACUUACCAACCCGAUGCAAACUGCGAAUACCGGAGAAUGUUAUCACGGGAGACACACGGCGGGUGCUAACGUCCGUCGUGAAGAGGGAAACAACCCAGACCGCCAGCUAAGGUCCCAAAGUCAUGGUUAAGUGGGAAACGAUGUGGGAAGGCCCAGACAGCCAGGAUGUUGGCUUAGAAGCAGCCAUCAUUUAAAGAAAGCGUAAUAGCUCACUGGUCGAGUCGGCCUGCGCGGAAGAUGUAACGGGGCUAAACCAUGCACCGAAGCUGCGGCAGCGACGCUGAUGCGUUGUUGGGUAGGGGAGCGUUCUGUAAGCCUGCGAAGGUGUGCUGUGAGGCAUGCUGGAGGUAUCAGAAGUGCGAAUGCUGACAUAAGUAACGAUAAAGCGGGUGAAAAGCCCGCUCGCCGGAAGACCAAGGGUUCCUGUCCAACGUUAAUCGGGGCAGGGUGAGUCGACCCCUAAGGCGAGGCCGAAAGGCGUAGUCGAUGGGAAACAGGUUAAUAUUCCUGUACUUGGUGUUACUGCGAAGGGGGGACGGAGAAGGCUAUGUUGGCCGGGCGACGGUUGUCCCGGUUUAAGCGUGUAGGCUGGUUUUCCAGGCAAAUCCGGAAAAUCAAGGCUGAGGCGUGAUGACGAGGCACUACGGUGCUGAAGCAACAAAUGCCCUGCUUCCAGGAAAAGCCUCUAAGCAUCAGGUAACAUCAAAUCGUACCCCAAACCGACACAGGUGGUCAGGUAGAGAAUACCAAGGCGCUUGAGAGAACUCGGGUGAAGGAACUAGGCAAAAUGGUGCCGUAACUUCGGGAGAAGGCACGCUGAUAUGUAGGUGAAGUCCCUCGCGGAUGGAGCUGAAAUCAGUCGAAGAUACCAGCUGGCUGCAACUGUUUAUUAAAAACACAGCACUGUGCAAACACGAAAGUGGACGUAUACGGUGUGACGCCUGCCCGGUGCCGGAAGGUUAAUUGAUGGGGUCAGCGCAAGCGAAGCUCUUGAUCGAAGCCCCGGUAAACGGCGGCCGUAACUAUAACGGUCCUAAGGUAGCGAAAUUCCUUGUCGGGUAAGUUCCGACCUGCACGAAUGGCGUAAUGAUGGCCAGGCUGUCUCCACCCGAGACUCAGUGAAAUUGAACUCGCUGUGAAGAUGCAGUGUACCCGCGGCAAGACGGAAAGACCCCGUGAACCUUUACUAUAGCUUGACACUGAACAUUGAGCCUUGAUGUGUAGGAUAGGUGGGAGGCUUUGAAGUGUGGACGCCAGUCUGCAUGGAGCCGACCUUGAAAUACCACCCUUUAAUGUUUGAUGUUCUAACGUUGACCCGUGAUCCGGGUUGCGGACAGUGUCUGGUGGGUAGUUUGACUGGGGCGGUCUCCUCCUAAAGAGUAACGGAGGAGCACGAAGGUUGGCUAAUCCUGGUCGGACAUCAGGAGGUUAGUGCAAUGGCAUAAGCCAGCUUGACUGCGAGCGUGACGGCGCGAGCAGGUGCGAAAGCAGGUCAUAGUGAUCCGGUGGUUCUGAAUGGAAGGGCCAUCGCUCAACGGAUAAAAGGUACUCCGGGGAUAACAGGCUGAUACCGCCCAAGAGUUCAUAUCGACGGCGGUGUUUGGCACCUCGAUGUCGGCUCAUCACAUCCUGGGGCUGAAGUAGGUCCCAAGGGUAUGGCUGUUCGCCAUUUAAAGUGGUACGCGAGCUGGGUUUAGAACGUCGUGAGACAGUUCGGUCCCUAUCUGCCGUGGGCGCUGGAGAACUGAGGGGGGCUGCUCCUAGUACGAGAGGACCGGAGUGGACGCAUCACUGGUGUUCGGGUUGUCAUGCCAAUGGCACUGCCCGGUAGCUAAAUGCGGAAGAGAUAAGUGCUGAAAGCAUCUAAGCACGAAACUUGCCCCGAGAUGAGUUCUCCCUGACUCCUUGAGAGUCCUGAAGGAACGUUGAAGACGACGACGUUGAUAGGCCGGAUGUGUAAGCGCAGCGAUGCGUUGAGCUAACCGGUACUAAUGAACCGUGAGGCUUAACCUUACAACGCCGAAGGUGUUU